UCGGCAUCCAGUCGGCGGGCGGCGCCGGCAUGGCGCUGGCGCAGUGGAUGGACAGCGGCGAGAAGCCGUUCGACCUCGGCGAUGUCGAC
Molecule: transfer RNA, 89 nt
Filed under: Limimaricola soesokkakensis
Lineage: Bacteria; Pseudomonadati; Pseudomonadota; Alphaproteobacteria; Rhodobacterales; Paracoccaceae
Description: tRNA-Pro
Source: RNAcentral